Molecule: ribosomal RNA, 253 nt
Filed under: uncultured bacterium
Lineage: Bacteria
Description: partial 16S ribosomal RNA
Rfam family: Bacterial small subunit ribosomal RNA
Source: RNAcentral
UACAGAGGUGGCGAGCGUUGUUCGGAUUUACUGGGCGUAAAGGGUGCGUAGGCGGUCUCGUGUGUUGGAUGUGAAAUCCCAUGGCUCAACCAUGGAAAUGCAUCCAAAACUGCGGGACUAGAGUACAGAAGAGGAGAGUGGAAUUCUUGGUGUAGCGGUGAAAUGCGCAGAUAUCAAGAGGAACACCGGUGGCGAAGGCGGCUCUCUGGAAUGAUACUGACGCUGAGGCACGAAAGCCGGGGGAGCAAAAAGG